RNAcentral lists this ribosomal RNA (366 nucleotides) under Zeugodacus tau. RNAcentral describes it as "partial 12S rRNA". It matches the Rfam family "Microsporidia small subunit ribosomal RNA", at positions 800 to 1311 of the family's 1311-position model. The record is from RNAcentral. Lineage: Eukaryota; Metazoa; Arthropoda; Insecta; Diptera; Tephritidae.
AGUCUAUUCAGAGGAACCUGUCCUGUAAUUGAUAAUCCACGAUGAACCUUGCUUAAGUUUGUUUUUCAGUUUAUAUACCGUCGUUAUCAGAAUAUUUUAUUAGAAUAAUAAUUUUCUAUAAUUUUAAUAGGAAUGUAUAUCAGAUCAAGGUGUAGCUUAUAUUUGAGUAGAGAUGGGUUACAAUAAAUAUAUUUAAACGGAUCUAAUUAUGAAAUAUUUUUAGUGAAGGUGGAUUUGAUAGUAAAAUUUUAAAGAUUGUGAAUUUGAUUUUAGCUCUAGAAUAUGCACACAUCGCCCGUCGCUCUUACUAUUAAGGUAAGAUAAGUCGUAACAUAGUAGAUGUACCGGAAGGUGUAUCUAGAAUGA